RNAcentral lists this transfer RNA (75 nucleotides) under Pedosphaera sp. RNAcentral's name for it is "tRNA-Val". It matches the Rfam family "tRNA". From Rfam's summary of the family: Transfer RNA (tRNA) molecules are approximately 80 nucleotides in length. Their secondary structure includes four short double-helical elements and three loops (D, anti-codon, and T loops). Lineage: Bacteria; Pseudomonadati; Verrucomicrobiota; Pedosphaerae; Pedosphaerales; Pedosphaeraceae. The record is from RNAcentral.
GCGCGCUUAGCUCAGUGGUAGAGCAUAUCCUUCACACGGAUGGGGUCGGAGGUUCAAUCCCUUCAGCGCGUACCA